UUUAAGGUCUGGCCUGCCCAAUGAGGUAUUAAAUGGCCGCAGUAUUUUGACUGUGCAAAGGUAGCAUAAUUAUUAGUUUUUUAAUUGAAAGCUUGUAUGAAGGGUUGGACGAGGUAAAAUCUGUCUCUAUUUAAAUAAAAGUAGAAUUUAACUUUUAAGUCAAAAGGCUUAAAUAUUUAUAAAAGACGAGAAGACCCUAUAGAUCUUUAUUUAGCUAGAAUUUUAAUAAUUUAGGAUUAUUUUAAUUUAAAUUUUUAGAUAAAUUUUAUUGGGGUAAUAUAAAGAUUUAAUUAAUUCUUUUUACUAAUUACAUUGAUUUAUGAGUAAAUGAUCCAGUAUUAUUGAUUAUAAGAUUAAGUUACCUUAGGGAUAACAGCGUAAUUUUUUUGGAGAGCUCAUAUCGAUAAAAAAGUUUGCGACCUCGAUGUUGGAUUAAAAAUUAGCUUGGGUGCAGAAGCUCAAGAUUUUGGUCUGUUCGACCAUUAAAUUUUUACAUGAUCUGAGUUCAGACCGGCGUAAGCCAGGUCGGUUUCUAUCUUUAUUUAGUGGAAAUAUUUUAGUACGAAAGGACCAAAUAUUUAAUAUAAUUAUAUUUAUUUUUUGAAUAAUAUUAUUACUUUGGCAGAAUAGUGCAAUGAAUUUAGAAUUCAUGAAUGUAAUUUUUUUACAAGUAAUACUUGUAUAUAGGAGACCUACUAUUGUUAGUAUUUUGCAUAUUGAUUCUUGUAAUUUGUGUUUUAGUGGGGGUGGCCUUUUUAACUUUGUUGGAGCGAAGGGUUUUAGGUUAUAUUCAAAUUCGU
Molecule: ribosomal RNA, 800 nt
Filed under: Lophyra tetradia
Lineage: Eukaryota; Metazoa; Arthropoda; Insecta; Coleoptera; Carabidae
Description: partial 16S ribosomal RNA
Rfam family: Bacterial large subunit ribosomal RNA (bases 1-563)
Source: RNAcentral